AGUGAACGCUGGCGGUAGGCCUAACACAUGCAAGUCGAACGGCAGCACAGUAAGAGCUUGCUCUUACGGGUGGCGAGUGGCGGACGGGUGAGGAAUACGUCGGAAUCUACUUUUUCGUGGGGGAUAACGUAGGGAAACUUACGCUAAUACCGCAUACGACCUACGGGUGAAAGCAGGGGAUCUUCGGACCUUGCGCGGUUGAAUGAGCCGAUGUCGGAUUAGCUAGUUGGCGGGGUAAAGGCCCACCAAGGCGACGAUCCGUAGCUGGUCUGAGAGGAUGAUCAGCCACACUGGAACUGAGACACGGUCCAGACUCCUACGGGAGGCAGCAGUGGGGAAUAUUGGACAAUGGGCGCAAGCCUGAUCCAGCCAUACCGCGUGGGUGAAGAAGGCCUUCGGGUUGUAAAGCCCUUUUGUUGGGAAAGAAAAGCAGCAGGUUAAUACCCCGCUGUUCUGACGGUACCCAAAGAAUAAGCACCGGCUAACUUCGUG
Molecule: ribosomal RNA, 492 nt
Filed under: uncultured bacterium
Lineage: Bacteria
Description: partial 16S ribosomal RNA
Rfam family: Bacterial small subunit ribosomal RNA
Source: RNAcentral